UACAGAGGGGGCAAGCGUUAUUCGGAAUUAUUGGGCGUAAAGGGCGCGUAGGCGGCUUUGCAAGUGGCGGGUGAAAUCCCUCGGCUUAACCGAGGAACUGCCUGUCAAACUGCAUGGCUUGAGACCAGGAGAGGUGAGUGGAAUUCCCAGUGUAACGGUGAAAUGCGUAAAUAUUGGGAGGAACACCAGUGGCGAAGACGGCUCACUGGACUGGUACUGACGCUGAUGCGCGAAAGCGUAAAGAGCAAACAGG
RNAcentral lists this ribosomal RNA (253 nucleotides) under uncultured bacterium. RNAcentral's name for it is "partial 16S ribosomal RNA". It matches the Rfam family "Bacterial small subunit ribosomal RNA", at positions 524 to 776 of the family's 1533-position model. The record is from RNAcentral.